This 457-nucleotide long non-coding RNA is filed under the name Trifolium pratense (red clover). RNAcentral describes it as "long non-coding RNA (TPRA_LNC010344)". Lineage: Eukaryota; Viridiplantae; Streptophyta; Magnoliopsida; Fabales; Fabaceae. The record is from RNAcentral.
AUAGUAAAACAUAGAGACUAUUAUGUGAGUAGAUUGAUGACUUCAUCUCACGAGUCAUGGAUAUGAGAUAUCAAGUCUUCACAUAGAUAUAAAUAUUAGGAGUAAUAUUUAUAUUGGAUUGACCCGCCAUGAGAAUGCUACAUAGUAUGUUAUGAAAAGUGUCAUAAGUUAUUCUCAUAGUGAUAAUGGUGUAUACCACCCUUCGACCGGAAACCACUAUGGACCCUAGAUGUGGAGUAGAGUACUUAGUUGCCGUUCAAACAUUGUCCGUAACAGGAUGACUAUAAAGUCAGUUGAUGGGUACUCUAUAAAUCAUGCUGAGGGACAUGAGUGACCUAGAUGGAAUUUGCCCCUCCUACAUAACAGGAGCAAUAUCUGUAGGCCUCUUGAUGGAAUAUGACUGAUAAAAUGCGUGGCCACGCCGAACUAAGUCAAUAUGAGAUAUUGAGCUUAUUCG